AAUGAACGUUGGCGGCGUGGAUUAGGCAUGCAAGUCGCGCGACAAGGAACCUUCGGGUUCUGGAGGAGCGGCAAACGGGGUAGUAAGGCAUCGGAACGUACCCUCUUGUUGGGAAUAGCCGCGGGAAACUGCGAGUAAUGCCUAAUAAUCCCUACGGGGCAAAGGUCCGCCGCAGGAGGAGCGGCCGAUGUGAUACCAGCUAGUUGGUGAGGUAAUGGCUCACCAAGGCUUAGACGUCUAGGGGGUNUGAGAGCAUGGGCCCCCCACACUGGGACUGAGAUACUGCCCAGACACCUACGGGUGGCUGCAGUCGAGAAUCUUCGGCAAUGGGCGGCAAGCCUGACCGAGCAACGCCGCGUGCGGGAUGAAGGCCCUUGGGUUGUAAACCGCUGUCAGGGGGGAUGAAAGCGCAAGCUUGACAGAGCCCCAGAGGAAGCACGGGCUAAGUUCGUG
RNAcentral lists this ribosomal RNA (453 nucleotides) under uncultured bacterium. RNAcentral's name for it is "bacterial SSU rRNA". It matches the Rfam family "Bacterial small subunit ribosomal RNA", at positions 29 to 507 of the family's 1533-position model. The record is from RNAcentral.